AUUGAACGCUGGCGGCAGGCUUAACACAUGCAAGUCGAACGGUAACAUAAAGGAGCUUGCUUCUUUGAUGACGAGUGGCGGACGGGUGAGUAAUGCUUGGGAAUCUAGCUUAUGGAGGGGGAUAACUACGGGAAACUGUAGCUAAUACCGCGUAGAAUCGGGAGAUGAAAGUGUGGGACCUUCGGGCCACAUGCCAUAGGAUGAGCCCAAGUGGGAUUAGGUAGUUGGUGAGGUAAAGGCUCACCAAGCCGACGAUCUCUAGCUGGUCUGAGAGGAUGACCAGCCACACUGGGACUGAGACACGGCCCAGACUCCUACGGGAGGCAGCAGUGGGGAAUAUUGCGCAAUGGGGGCAACCCUGACGCAGCCAUGCCGCGGGAAUGAAGAAGGCCUUCGGGUUGUAAAGUUCUUUCGGUAGCGAGGAAGGCAUUUAGUUUAAUAGACGAGGUGAUGGACGUGAACUACAGAAGAAGCACCGGCGAACUCCGU
This 489-nucleotide ribosomal RNA is filed under the name uncultured bacterium. Its description in RNAcentral is "partial 16S ribosomal RNA". It matches the Rfam family "Bacterial small subunit ribosomal RNA", at positions 30 to 506 of the family's 1533-position model. The record is from RNAcentral.